RNAcentral lists this ribosomal RNA (361 nucleotides) under uncultured bacterium. Its description in RNAcentral is "bacterial SSU rRNA". It matches the Rfam family "Bacterial small subunit ribosomal RNA", at positions 542 to 902 of the family's 1533-position model. The record is from RNAcentral.
UGUCCGGAUUUACUGGGUGUAAAGGGUGCGUAGGCGGCUUUGCAAGUCAGAUGUGAAAUCUAUGGGCUCAACCCAUAAACUGCAUUUGAAACUGUAGAGCUUGAGUGAAGUAGAGGCAGGCGGAAUUCCCCGUGUAGCGGUGAAAUGCGUAGAGAUGGGGAGGAACACCAGUGGCGAAGGCGGCCUGCUGGGCUUUAACUGACGCUGAGGCACGAAAGCGUGGGUAGCAAACAGGAUUAGAUACCCUGGUAGUCCACGCUGUAAACGAUGAUUACUAGGUGUGGGGGGUCUGACCCCUUCCGUGCCGGAGUUAACACAAUAAGUAAUCCACCUGGGGAGUACGGCCGCAAGGUUGAAACUC